AGUAACUUUCAUGUUAUUGCAUGGAUAAAUUGUAACGCACACCUACAACAGUCUAUAAUUUGCUGUAAUGUCUAGCAGUUGUCUCAUUUUUUUUAUCUAAAUCCACCUGGACGACCAUGUCCGUGUCCUCAUAUCCCUGAAAAUGUCCUCAGUGACCCUUAGAGCAGGAUGAAUGGGGUGUGAUAGAAAAUGCACAUGAUUAUCUGAAGUACAAAGUUCCUUUCGCGAGUGAGAACACUGUCAACACCAAGGCCAUGCAUGGUGUGAACUUGCAGGAAACAAUUGGUCGCGCUCAACUAAUAAUAAAUUCACGAAUCUAUUACAUAAACAGUCUAUUAAUCCGGUUUUACUCAUCAAUAUUCUUUAUCCAGGACAUCAACCCUUUUAUGUCAUUUUUGUUCUAUUUCUUCUGUCCAAUUACAGACUAUCAUACUGCAGAUGAUACUGGAAUUUAUACCCCCGAAUCUUAUUUACUAGAUUUUAAUACUUUAAUACUGGAUUUUAACGCUUUACCAAAUUGGCUUUUAAUCUAAUAAAUGAGUACUCAAUAAAACAAAAUCUCACAUCAUGGUUUUUGCUACCAAACAUUCUUAAAACAAGAUCUAAUCAUCAAAUAAUAAUGUGUUGUGACGGUACGUAGCCUUAUAGAGUUGAUCAAACGAAAUAUUUGGUAUUAUGGCUUGAUCCGGAGCUAUUUUCAAACCUCAUAACGAUGACAUACUUCACAAAAUUAAAGUUGGAACUGGUGUGUUAUAUCAAUCUAAAAACUCCUUCGCAUUUAAUGUCCGAAAGAAUCAUGACUUAUUGUAUAUUACCAUUUUUUGACUAUACCGACACAAUUAACCUUAAUGGUCUCAACUUAAUAUAAGAAGCUACAGUAUAUUCAUUGGCUGCAAUUCAUCUUCAAACGUGUACAUUUUAACGAUCCUUGUCAUUAGCAGUUUUCGGGAUCAUAUUCCUCAAUAAAUCAACUGAGGCGUUCUACACAAUAAUUAUUUUCCAUUCCUACAGUUAUAAAAGUAAUCGGAAAGAAAGCACCUGUGCAUAAGACUCCCUCGGAUUGCGAUCAUUUACCUUCAUAUAUACAAUCCUCGACAUCAUCAUCUCACGCGUUUAAAAAUAGUUUGUUUUCUUAUUUCAGGACAAAUUGUACAUGCUUCAAAUGACGCUAUAUUUAUAUAAGUGUACAAUAUAUAAUAGUGUAAUACUGUAUAUUUUAUAGUAUAAAAUGUCAUAUUAUAUCCUUGCUGGGCAAACAUUUGUUCAUUUGUUCGCAACCUUUCUGUGGCCAUUUAGUAGCUGUGUUCACCAACGCACUCACUCUUUCGACGUCUCUGUGUUGCUCGUCUUAUUUGUAGUACGGUAUGUUUGUUGAAAUAUUGAUUGCUGUUUUGAUUUUGUUUUCCCUAUGACGUGUUUUUUUAAAAAAAAAAUUUUUUUCAUUUUUGUUUGUGUUAUAUGUUAGGACCCUUUGAAAACGAGAUGGUUCAUCUCAAGGGGCUUAUCCUAAAGAAUAAACUUGUAUCAUCAUUAGAGAAGGUGACCCAAGCACAACAAGUUGGUCAUCCUAACAAGAACAGAAUAAAGGAAUGUAUAAAUGCUUCAUAUAUAUAUAUAUAUAUAUAUAUAUGAGUUAGUAUUUUGUUAGUGUCAGUAGUAACAGUAUAGUCAUAUAAUAAAUAGUAAUAUAGUAUAUUAUACUAUUUUGUUAUUGUGUCCGUAGGGGAAAAAAUAUUCUAAAACAAGCUGUGAGUGACUUUGGUGUGUUUUUCAGACCCAUACACUCUUGGUAGCAGAGCUUCCACGCAAGGCGCUAACUUGCCAUCAGGAGCAACUUGGGGUCGCCCAAGGACACUUCGGCAUGUGGAGUCACGUGGGCCGGGAAUCGAACCUCUAACCCUACGAUUAGUGGACAACCCGCUCUACCACCUGAUCCACGGCCGCCCCGUGUACUGUCUUGCCACUCAACCAUCAGUUUAAUCAGUAAUGGGGCCCUGGAAUGUAUGGAAACCCUGGAUGUGCAGCACAGUUAAUGUCUCAUAAUAUUCUUCAGUGAGUUAUGUCGCAGUUACCCUAGCGGUCUCUAGAUUGCCAAAAGGAUGCUCAAGUAUUAUUCCUUCUUUCUCUAGGUUACAGAACUUUGAUCAUAUUGAUUUAGACACACGGUAUUUUACAAAAUGCGAUUUUAGGAUUAAAUCUUUGAAAUUGAGUUUGCAGACAAGUUUCCCUACAGUAGUUUUUGCUGUUUUUAAGAAACGGAGAAGCUAAAUAUAUAAGUGGGAAAUCCGAGUUUGUACUGAACAUGAGACAGGCGAGUGAUAUUGUGUCAUCGGAUAUGAAAGCUAGUCACAAAUUCAGGACAUUUCACACUAAUUUACCAGGAAAGGGGGUGGGAAAUGUCAGAUUGGGGAUGUUUCCCUUAUUUAAUCUUGACUUCUUGAUGAGGGUAAAAGUAUCGGUGCCCAUUUUAUGUGUUCUAAUGGGCGAAGCAUUUUAUCUUUCUGUAAAUUAAGCUAUUCAUUUGGCUGAUCGUUUUCCUUAAAUACAUAUACCUAAAUGUUUCCACGAGUAGAUAAUCAACUUAAGAUUUAAAUAAGUAUAUGUUA
Ictalurus punctatus (channel catfish) is the source of this 2606-nucleotide long non-coding RNA. RefSeq lists it as uncharacterized. Lineage: Eukaryota; Metazoa; Chordata; Actinopteri; Siluriformes; Ictaluridae. The transcript is spliced from 2 exons. The record is from RefSeq and is a predicted model, not a curated record.